This 467-nucleotide ribosomal RNA is filed under the name uncultured bacterium. Its description in RNAcentral is "bacterial SSU rRNA". It matches the Rfam family "Bacterial small subunit ribosomal RNA", at positions 32 to 524 of the family's 1533-position model. The record is from RNAcentral.
AAUCAACGCUGGCGGCGUGCCUAACACAUGCAAGUCGCACGAGAAAGAGGGGGCAACCCCUUGAGUAAAGUGGCGUACGGGUGAGUCACACGUGACUAACCUACCUCCGAGUGGGGAAUAACUCCGGGAGACCGGGGCUAAUACCGCAUAACAUCUACGGAUCAAAGCAGUAAUGCGCUUGGAGAGGGGGUCGCGGCUGAUUAGCUAGUUGGUGAGGUAAUGGCUCACCAAGGCGACGAUCAGUAUCCGGCCUGAGAGGGCGCACGGACACACUGGAACUGAAACACGGUCCAGACUCCUACGGGAGGCAGCAGUGGGGAAUUUUGCGCAAUGGGGGAAACCCUGACGCAGCAACGCCGCGUGGAGGAUGAAGGUCUUUGGAUUGUAAACUCCUUUCGAUCGGGGGCGAUUAUGACGGUACCGGAAGAAGAAGCACCGGCUAACUCUGUGCCAGCCGCCGCGGUAAC